Meriones unguiculatus (Mongolian gerbil) is the source of this 1150-nucleotide long non-coding RNA. RefSeq lists it as uncharacterized. The transcript is spliced from 3 exons. Lineage: Eukaryota; Metazoa; Chordata; Mammalia; Rodentia; Muridae. The record is from RefSeq and is a predicted model, not a curated record.
CAUCGACCCAGGGCGGACCUGCAUGAUGAACUGCACUGGACUGUCUGCUGUCAAUCACCCACUGCUCUGAGCACCCAGCCUGCUCAGGGCACAGAAAGAGCAAGGGGCCCAUCCGCCCCUUCCCAAGCAUUUGCAGGGUUACUGAUGACAGUUCAUCAGGAUGGGCACAGUCUGAGGACAUGAAAUGACAGCUGCUGCCUACAAACGGCGGAGAGUCACCUAAGCGCCUCUGAACAGACACAGAAGCCGCGUUAGUCAUCCUUCUGUUAAGAGCUCAGUCAUGUGAUGAUCUCAGAGGACCCGGCGAAGGAAGACCCUUGACACUUCCCUACGGAAGAAUGUCUUCUGCAAAAGGCUCCUGCCAGGACGGGAAGCAAGUGCUGGGAAAAUCCUUAGCCUGUGGCUGCGUGUGUUUCCAAUUCUGCUGUCCCACUUCCUCUCCGCAUCACAUCCCCUCUGGGGCUCAGCUGAGGAGCUAAAGUGCAGUGCUCUUAAAGACUUUACGAUAAAAAGAGCUAAAAUGGAUUUCAAGAAACAGAAAAUGUAUAGUGCUAUAUAAAGUCAACUUCCAGUUUACCAAUUUGAAAUGUUCUUUUUUUAAAAAAAAAAAAAAUUAUUUUUAAAUGCUGGCUGCCUAACUUCCUAUAAAGUUGUUUUGUUGAAGCUUAUGUAAGCUGGGUGUGGUGGCACAUACUUACAAUCCCAGUGUUUGUGGGACGUAAGGAUGGCAAAUUCCAGCCCGGCCUCGACUACACAGCAAGACUCUUUCAAAAAUACCAGUAAAGGGGCUGCAGAUGCGGUUCCCUUGGGAGAGCGCUUGCCCAGCGUGCAGGAAGGCCUCCACUCAGUCUCCAAAGUCUCAUAAAACCAGCGAAGGUGUGUGAAGCAGGAGAAACACAUGUUUAGGGUCAUCCUCAGCUACAUAGUGAGUUCUGGACCAGCCUGGCCUACCUAAGACCCUGGUGGGAUAUUUUUUAAGUAAUCGUAUAAACCUUUCAAAUGGUGUUAUCUUAAAGUAGUGGCAUCGCUCUUCCGACCUCCCAGACCUAUUUCACAGCGGCUUUAGGAAGGAACGACUAUAAUACACAUGAAAGUCAUGUGGGGUCUGCAAAGAGCUAACCAAAUAAAUAAGUUAAAUUGUGAUUGUUCA